Molecule: RNase P RNA, 422 nt
Filed under: Verrucomicrobiales bacterium
Lineage: Bacteria; Pseudomonadati; Verrucomicrobiota; Verrucomicrobiia; Verrucomicrobiales
Description: RNase P RNA component class A
Rfam family: Bacterial RNase P class A
About the family: Ribonuclease P (RNase P) is a ubiquitous endoribonuclease, found in archaea, bacteria and eukarya as well as chloroplasts and mitochondria. Its best characterised activity is the generation of mature 5'-ends of tRNAs by cleaving the 5'-leader elements of precursor-tRNAs.
Source: RNAcentral
GGGUGGGGUCUGAGCGAUCGCUCCUGGUACAACGUGCCAAGGGGAGGAAAGUCCGGACACCACAGGGCUUCAUGCCAUGUGAAAGCAUGGGCACCGGUAACGAAAGGCUCCGGUGACGGACAGUGUCGCAGAAAGAAUACCGCCACACCUUCGGGUGUGGUAAGGGUGAAAUGGCGAGGUAAGAGCUCACCGCUCCGACCGUAAGGAACGAGGCAUGACAAACCCCAUGAGGUGCAAGACAGAACAGAAGGAAGGAGUCGCCCGCUCCGCAGUCGGCCUCGUGCCGAUGGUAUCUUCGGGUAUUAGUCGCACCUCACCUCGGUGAGGUCUCGCUCUUGAGCGAGAAGACAAAUGAUCGCACGCUGACCUCUAGAAAUAGAGGCCAGUCGACAGAAUCCGGCUUAUGACGACCCCACCCCACU